UAAGCAAAUAGUGAAAGCGUGGGGCUCAACCUCAUAUACAUUAUUUGAACUGCUUAGCUAGAGGAUGAGAGAGGUCGCUGGAAUUGCUAGUGUAGGAGUGAAAUCCGUAGAUAUUAGCAGGAACACCGAUGGCGUAGGCAGGCGACUGGCUCAUUCCUGACACUAAGGCACGAAAGCGUGGGAGCAAACGGGAUUAGAUACCCCGGUAGCCCACGCCGUAAACGAUGGAUGCUA
RNAcentral lists this ribosomal RNA (234 nucleotides) under uncultured Candidatus Saccharibacteria bacterium. Its description in RNAcentral is "partial 16S ribosomal RNA". It matches the Rfam family "Bacterial small subunit ribosomal RNA", at positions 584 to 818 of the family's 1533-position model. Lineage: Bacteria; Candidatus Saccharimonadota. The record is from RNAcentral.